Molecule: ribosomal RNA, 918 nt
Filed under: Meganerilla cesari
Lineage: Eukaryota; Metazoa; Annelida; Polychaeta; Nerillidae
Description: partial 28S ribosomal RNA
Rfam family: Eukaryotic large subunit ribosomal RNA
Source: RNAcentral
UUCCCCUAGUAACGGCGAGAAGCGGGAGCCCAGCACCGAAUCUCCUGCAGCAGCGAGAGUUGUGGUGUUUAGGACAGCCGUGGCGAUGUCGGAUGUCCAAGUCCGUCUGAUCGCGGCCUUUCAGUGGGUGUCAGGCCUUUACCGGCAUCUGACGCGUCACUCUGAUCCUUGGAGUCGGGUUGUUUGGGAAUGCAGCCCAAAGUGGGUGGUAAACUCCACCUCUAAAUACUGACACGAGACCGAUAGCGGACAAGUACCGUGAGGGAAAGUUGAAAAGGACUUUGAAGAGAGAGUUCAAGAGUACGUGAAACCGUUUAGAGGUAAACGGAUAGGACCACAAAGUCGACCGGGUAAUUCAACUGCUGGCGUUGGUGCUGCAUUGCCAUGCGUCGGCCCGGCAGGUGCACUUUGCGGAGAGCGCCACGACCGGUUCGCGGCAGUCACAAGCUCUAAGGUAGGUAGGCCUUCGGUUACUGUUAUAGGCAGCUGGCCUGCUGGUGGACCGAGGAUCUGCCGUGCCCGCCGGGCUCUUGCACGUCAACUGGGGUGGACUGCUUGUGCGCUCCGACCGUCUGCUGUGGGUGAGUCCCGAGGGCACACAGGGUCAGUGGCGAAUCGGUUGGCCCCCUAUCCGACCCGUCUUGAAACACGGACCAAGGAGUCUAACAUGUGCGCAAGUCAUGGGGUUCUACGAAACCUAAGGCGCAAUGAAAGUGAAGGCUUUCCUUGCCUAGGUAGGAUCUCGGGGCGAGCGCACUACCGGCCCGUCCCACUCAUCGUAGGAGAGGCGGCGCAAGAGCGUACACGUUGGGACCCGAAAGAUGGUGAACUAUGCCUGAGUAGGUUGAAGCCAGAGGAAACUCUGGUGGAGGACCGUAGCGAUUCUGACGUGCAAAUCGAUCGUCAAACUUGGGUAUA